This 161-nucleotide unclassified non-coding RNA is filed under the name uncultured Venturiales. Its description in RNAcentral is "sequence contains ITS2". The record is from RNAcentral. Lineage: Eukaryota; Fungi; Ascomycota; Dothideomycetes.
CGACCCUCAAGCAUAGCUUGGUGUUGGGCACGGUCCUAGGUAGGGGACCCGCCCGUAACUCGUAGGCGGCCGCCGCCCGCGCCCCCAGCGUAGCAAGCUUCACGCAUUCGCUCGGGGACGGCGCGUCUGGCCCGCCAGGCAAAACCCAAACCCUUCCCAAG